This 374-nucleotide ribosomal RNA is filed under the name uncultured bacterium. Its description in RNAcentral is "partial 16S ribosomal RNA". It matches the Rfam family "Bacterial small subunit ribosomal RNA", at positions 338 to 709 of the family's 1533-position model. The record is from RNAcentral.
CCUACGGGCGGCAGCAGUGAGGAAUAUUGGUCAAUGGACGAGAGUCUGAACCAGCCAAGUAGCGUGAAGGAUGACUGCCCUAUGGGUUGUAAACUUCUUUUAUAUGGGAGUAAAAUGUUCCACGUGUGGGAUUUUGUAUGUACCCUAUGAAUAAGGAUCGGCUAACUCCGUGCCAGCAGCCGCGGUAAUACGGAGGAUGCGUGCGUUGUCCGGAUUUAUUGGGUUUAUAGGGAGCGUAGGUGGAUUGUUAAGUCCGGUGUGAAAGUUUGCGGCUCAACCGUAAAACUGCAGUUGAAACUGGCAGACUUGAGUAAAGGAGCGGUAGGCGGAAUUCGUGGUGUAGCGGUGAAAUGCUUAGAUAUCGAGAGGAACAC